CAAAAAUCUGUGAAAGAUCGAGUACGUCAUUAUUGGACCUUCAAAGAGAAAACUGCCAUGGCUGCAAGCAGUUUAGGACAAAUGUCGGAAAGACAAUCUGGAGAUGAACAGAAGAAAAGCUGUUCCGUGAACGAGCGUUAAUCGAAAGGAGAAUGAAAGUUCUCGAAUUUUAGGUGGUACCGCGUGUAAUAACUCGCCCUUGUG
RNAcentral lists this non-coding RNA (204 nucleotides) under Enterococcus sp. RNAcentral's name for it is "T-box sequence". It matches the Rfam family "T-box leader". From Rfam's summary of the family: Uncharged tRNA acts as the effector for transcription antitermination of genes in the T-box leader family. T-boxes are found upstream of many aminoacyl-tRNA synthetase genes and some amino acid biosynthetic genes usually in Gram-positive bacteria. Lineage: Bacteria; Bacillati; Bacillota; Bacilli; Lactobacillales; Enterococcaceae. The record is from RNAcentral.